GGGCCAGCGCCCGGGCUGCUGCCGCCGCCGGAGCCGGCCGGGAAGGGGGCCUGCGGCCCCAGCCCCCUGCUUCGGCACACGGCAGGAUAGUGUCCCGGCUCCGCGCCACCGGCGGCUGCCGCCGUCCCGGCUGAGCCUCCAGACUCUCACACCCCCAAGCCUAUCUUCGUCAUUAAUAAUUCUGCUAACUUAAGUGGGUUUGCUUGGCAUACCAGGUUCACCUCGAAUGGCAGGAGCAUGUGUAUGGGUGUGUGGGGACUGGAAGGACAGCUGUGCUAAGUGUUUCCUGCAGGACGAGGCGAAAGUUUUCUGUUCCCGGUCACUUGGCGCUGCAGAUAACGCACAUCGCUCUGCAUUUCCUCUUAAAGCUUGCAAGUUGACUCCCAUUAUACAAGCCUUCGUGGGGCUUUAUUUACAUGAAUAUAUUUGGACGAAGGAACAAGUGAUGGAGUGAUAAGCAAGCAGCCUUCCUGUAAUGAAGAACCUGGAAUGCUCCAACUAUUCCAGUUCUUCCCCUUGUACUCCCACAGCUGUAUAAUAAACAAUUACAGAGUAAGUGCU
Molecule: long non-coding RNA, 561 nt
Organism: Grus americana (Whooping crane)
Lineage: Eukaryota; Metazoa; Chordata; Aves; Gruiformes; Gruidae
Exons: 5
Source: RefSeq, a predicted model, not a curated record